AUUGAACGCUGGCGGAAUGCUUUACACAUGCAAGUCGAACGGCAGCACGGACUUCGGUCUGGUGGCGAGUGGCGAACGGGUGAGUAAUGUAUCGGAACGUGCCCAGUCGUGGGGGAUAACGUAGUGAAAAUUACGCUAAUACCGCAUACGAUCUAUGGAUGAAAGCGGGGGAUCGCAAGACCUCGCGCGAUUGGAGCGGCCGAUAUCAGAUUAGGUAGUUGGUGGGGUAGAGGCACACCAAGCCAACGAUCUGUAGCUGGUCUGAGAGGACGACCAGGCACACCGGAACUGAGACACGGUCCAGACUCCUACGGGAGGCAGCAGUGGGGAAUUUUGGACAAUGGGCGAAAGCCUGAUCCAGCCAUUCCGCGUGCAGGAUGAAGGCCCUCGGGUUGUAAACUGCUUUUGUACAGAACGAAAAGGUUUCUACUAAUACUAGGAGCUCAUGACGGUACCGUAAGAAUAAGCACCGGCUAACUACGUGCCAGCCGCCGCAGUAA
RNAcentral lists this ribosomal RNA (500 nucleotides) under uncultured bacterium. Its description in RNAcentral is "partial 16S ribosomal RNA". It matches the Rfam family "Bacterial small subunit ribosomal RNA", at positions 30 to 523 of the family's 1533-position model. The record is from RNAcentral.